Non-coding RNA from Tinamus guttatus (white-throated tinamou), 45 nucleotides. The record is from Rfam. NCBI's taxonomy places the organism in Eukaryota, Metazoa, Chordata, Aves, Tinamiformes, Tinamidae.
CAAAGGCUCUUCUAAGAGCCACCCACUGUUUCUUGGAAAGGGCUG